GUGCCAGCAGCCGCGGUAAUACGGAGGGUGCGAGCGUUGUCCGGAAUCACUGGGCGUAAAGGGCGCGUAGGUGGUUCGGUAAGUUGCUGGUGAAAUCCCGGGGCUCAACUCCGGGGCUGCCGGCAUGACUGCCGAACUUGAGCACGGUAGGGGCAGAUGGAAUUCCCGGUGUAGCGGUGGAAUGCGUAGAGAUCGGGAAGAAUACCGGUGGCGAAGGCGUUCUGCUGGGCCGUUGCUGACACUGAGGCGCGACAGCGUGGGGAGCAAACAGGAUUAGAAACCCCUGUAGUCC
Molecule: ribosomal RNA, 292 nt
Filed under: uncultured bacterium
Lineage: Bacteria
Description: partial 16S ribosomal RNA
Rfam family: Bacterial small subunit ribosomal RNA
Source: RNAcentral